CGGUGCAUCAUUUGAACGGUGUUAACCUGUUCCUGCAAUUUAGCCUCCAGAGAUUCCACCCUUGACUGUUUGUCAUCCAGAGCCUGUCUCACCCGACGCUGAAGAACACAUAUUUCUUUUUUCAGCUCAAUUAUUUGUUCAGUCUUGUGAUCUAUUUCUCUAUUCUGUUUUUCUAUUAUCUCUUCUUUUUUUGUUAUUUUGUGGUGAGCUUCUCCCACUUGGUGCUCAAGUCUCUCUAACUCUGCCUUGACAUCACGAUGCAUCGUACUAAUUUGUUCUUGUAUUUUCAUUUGAAGGUCUCUAUACGAUAUUUCUCUCUCCACUAACCCAUAUAGUCUUUGUGAUUCCGCUGGAAUCGCUCUGUCAGACUGUGAAUUAUUGACUAUUUCUCGUGACAUUUCUUUAAAAGCUUAAUGCAACGUGUCGAAAGAAAAAUACGUGUGCUUAAUUAUUUAACUUUAAAAUAGUCCCUUUCUGAAAGGUUUCUGGUUUGCUAAACACAACUCGCUGUUUCUGAAAAUGUUCCAAGUAAAACUGUGUUUGCAAAGGUGAAGAGGGGCUAUUUAUAGACUUUUGUGGCAGCGAAUUUGACGUCAGCGCUCUUUGAGCCUUUGAUCCUUUGUUUCAUCACAGGAUCACAUGACAGCUGUGCGUAAUUCUGCGCAUACUCAGAGAAUACCCAUUGUGACGCACGGUUUUGUUUUGAAUUUUUUUUUAAAUACCCUGAAAACAGUCCAAACAGUGUUUCCAACUUAGCGAUUUUGUCGCUAUAUUUAGGGAGUUUUCAAACCCCCCUUAGCGUCGUUUUUUUUCUUUUUCUAAAAAGCGACUUGCGACAAAUCUGGCGGCUUUUUCUGGUGUUAUUGGAGGCUUAUUUAUGACGACUUUUGACGUGAAAGCGCUUGUUGCUCUUACUCUCAACAAGCAGCGGGUGCUGCCGUGGGCACCUCGCUCGUGCCAAAGCGCUCACAGGCGGAGGAUAGUCCUCCUCCAGCCGCUGUCAGGGCAGGAGAUGUUCACGUGCGUCCAAACUGCAAAUGAAUCGCGCACGAGCAAAGCCGCCGCUCCCGCACUGACUGUAACGCAGUCAAUUCUUCUUUUACUGUUAUGCUGUUUUGUGGAUCACAAGGUUUAAAACUACUUGUAAACACACACACAUACAGUAACUCCACCCUAACCUGCAGCUGCAGCGCAAAUAACAACGAAAAUUGUUUGUAAACGUGUCCAGGAGUUUACAGGUGCAGACAGUGCAACAGCUUCCAGGUCAUUUAUUCUGCCAAUAUGGCAAGAAGGUCAUAACUGCUUCAAGCACUGUCUAUAUCAGGGGUAGGCAACGCCAGGCUUCGAGGGCCGGUGUCCUGCAGGCUUUAGAUCUCACCCUGGGUCAACACACCUGAAUCAAAUGAUUAGUUCAUUACCAGCCCCCUGGAGAACUUCAAGACAUGUUGAGGAGGUAAUUUAGCCAUUUGAAUCAGCUGUGUUGGUUCAAGGACACAUCUAAAACCUGCAGGACUCUGAGACAGGAGAGUCAAGCUC
Molecule: long non-coding RNA, 1536 nt
Organism: Astatotilapia calliptera (eastern happy)
Lineage: Eukaryota; Metazoa; Chordata; Actinopteri; Cichliformes; Cichlidae
Source: Ensembl